RNAcentral lists this transfer RNA (68 nucleotides) under Marmota monax (woodchuck). RNAcentral describes it as "tRNA.Ala". Lineage: Eukaryota; Metazoa; Chordata; Mammalia; Rodentia; Sciuridae. The record is from RNAcentral.
GGACUGUAGCUCAGUGGUAGAGUACUUUCCUAGCAUGUGAGAGGCACUGGGUUUGAUCCUCAGCACCA